AUUGAACGCUGGCGGCAGGCCUAACACAUGCAAGUCGAGCGGUAGAGAGGUGCUUGCAUCUCUUGAGAGCGGCGGACGGGUGAGUAAUGCCUAGGAAUCUGCCUAGUGGUGGGGGAUAACGUUCGGAAACGGACGCUAAUACCGCAUACGUCCUACGGGAGAAAGCGGGGGGAUCUUCGGACCUCGCGCCAUUAGAUGAGCCUAGGUCGGAUUAGCUAGUUGGUGAGGUAAUGGCUCACCAAGGCGACGAUCCGUAACUGGUCUGAGAGGAUGAUCAGUCACACUGGAACUGAGACACGGUCCAGACUCCUACGGGAGGCAGCAGUGGGGAAUAUUGGACAAUGGGCGAAAGCCUGAUCCAGCCAUGCCGCGUGUGUGAAGAAGUCUUCGGAUUGUAAAGCACUUUAAGUUGGGAGGAAGGGUAGU
Molecule: ribosomal RNA, 426 nt
Filed under: uncultured bacterium
Lineage: Bacteria
Description: bacterial SSU rRNA
Rfam family: Bacterial small subunit ribosomal RNA
Source: RNAcentral